UUACUGGGUACUGAUAGAUGCCCCGGUAAUUACUGGCAGUACUAUGCGUGGUGCCAUGUUUAUCUCCCUGGGGGAGAGAGAUUUUAUACGGUGGGCCUGGCAGCUGCCUGCUGGGCUAUCUGGCUGGCUUGAAAUCGAGCCACCUUUGAGAAGAAAAUGAUCAAAACUCCUUUUGAGAUAGUCUUUUCCAUGUGCUCUUUCUUACUUUAUUGGACAGGUCUGCAGCAAGGAGAUGAUGCUAAGAAGUUACGCGCAGGCGCGGAGCAGAUCAGGGCGGGGACCAUGCAGAUGAUGAAGCUGUGCGAGGCGGCCAGGCAGCCGAUCACCGGAGAGUGA
This 336-nucleotide ribosomal RNA is filed under the name Triticum aestivum (bread wheat). RNAcentral's name for it is "partial small subunit ribosomal RNA". The record is from RNAcentral. Lineage: Eukaryota; Viridiplantae; Streptophyta; Magnoliopsida; Poales; Poaceae.